AGGAUAAUAGUUAACUAUAACAUUUAAGUUGCAUUUAAAAAGUAUUGGAAAAUAAACCAAUUUAUCUUA
RNAcentral lists this transfer RNA (69 nucleotides) under Helochares sp. BMNH1425100. Its description in RNAcentral is "tRNA-Ala". Lineage: Eukaryota; Metazoa; Arthropoda; Insecta; Coleoptera; Hydrophilidae. The record is from RNAcentral.